GAGCGGCAGCAGGUCCUUCGGGAUGCUGGCGAGCGGCGGACGGGUGAGUAACGCGUGGGAAUCUGCCCAUCGGUGGGGGAUAGCCCGAGGAAACUCGGAUUAAUACCGCAUACGCCCUUCGGGGCAAAGUGGACCUCUGAUUCAAGUUCAUGCCGAUGGAUGAGCCCGCGGCCGAUUAGCUAGUUGGUGGGGUAAAGGCCUACCAAGGCGACGAUCGGUAGCUGGUCUGAGAGGACGAUCAGCCACACCGGAACUGAGACACGGUCCGGACUCCUACGGGAGGCAGCAGUGGGGAAUAUUGGACAAUGGGCGAAAGCCUGAUCCAGCAAUGCCGCGUGGGUGAAGAAGGCUUGCGGGUUGUAAAGCCCUUUCAGCAGGGAGGAAAAGCAUUCGGUUAAUACCCGGGUGUCUUGACGUUACCUGCAGAAGAAGCACCGGCUAACUCCGUGCCAGC
This 454-nucleotide ribosomal RNA is filed under the name uncultured bacterium. Its description in RNAcentral is "bacterial SSU rRNA". It matches the Rfam family "Bacterial small subunit ribosomal RNA", at positions 64 to 512 of the family's 1533-position model. The record is from RNAcentral.